GCCCGGGUGGCGGAAUUGGCAGACGCAGGGGGCUUAAACCUCCCGGGCUGCGGCCGUGUGGGUUCGAAUCCCACCCCGGGCA
This 82-nucleotide transfer RNA is filed under the name Acidimicrobiales bacterium. RNAcentral describes it as "tRNA-Leu". It matches the Rfam family "tRNA". From Rfam's summary of the family: Transfer RNA (tRNA) molecules are approximately 80 nucleotides in length. Lineage: Bacteria; Bacillati; Actinomycetota; Acidimicrobiia; Acidimicrobiales. The record is from RNAcentral. RNAcentral also lists the same sequence under 1 other name.